Molecule: ribosomal RNA, 465 nt
Filed under: uncultured Klebsiella sp.
Lineage: Bacteria; Pseudomonadati; Pseudomonadota; Gammaproteobacteria; Enterobacterales; Enterobacteriaceae
Description: bacterial SSU rRNA
Rfam family: Bacterial small subunit ribosomal RNA
Source: RNAcentral
CCUACGGGGGGCAGCAGUGGGGAAUAUUGCACGAUGGGCGCAAGCCUGAUGCAGCCAUGCCGCGUGUGUGAAGAAGGCCUUCGGGUUGUAAAGCACUUUCAGCGGGGAGGAAGGCGUUAAGGUUAAUAACCUUGGCGAUUGACGUUACCCGCAGAAGAAGCACCGGCUAACUCCGUGCCAGCAGCCGCGGUAAUACGGAGGGUGCAAGCGUUAAUCGGAAUUACUGGGCGUAAAGCGCACGCAGGCGGUCUGUCAAGUCGGAUGUGAAAUCCCCGGGCUCAACCUGGGAACUGCAUUCGAAACUGGCAGGCUAGAGUCUUGUAGAGGGGGGUAGAACUCCAGGUGUAGCGGUGAAAUGCGUAGAGAUCUGGAGGAAUACCGGUGGCGAAGGCGGCCCCCUGGACAAAGACUGACGCUCAGGUGCGAAAGCGUGGGGAGCAAACAGGAUUAGAUACCCCUGUAGUC